RNAcentral lists this transfer RNA (68 nucleotides) under Caridina longshan. RNAcentral describes it as "tRNA-Lys". The record is from RNAcentral. Lineage: Eukaryota; Metazoa; Arthropoda; Malacostraca; Decapoda; Atyidae.
CACCAGAUGACUGAAAGUAAGUGUAGGUCUUUUAAGCCUAUUAUAGCAACUGCGUCUGCUUCUGGUGG